Small nuclear RNA from Onychomys torridus (southern grasshopper mouse), 147 nucleotides. RefSeq annotates it as U4 spliceosomal RNA. NCBI's taxonomy places the organism in Eukaryota, Metazoa, Chordata, Mammalia, Rodentia, Cricetidae. The transcript has a single exon. The record is from RefSeq and is a predicted model, not a curated record.
AGCUUUGCGCAGUGGCAGUAUCAUAGCCAAUGAGGUUUAUCCGAGGCGCGAUUAUUGCUAAUUGAAGAAAAGAAAAGAAAAACAGGUUUCUGAAGAGAGAGCAAUUGCUCAAGAAUUCAGGCCGAUAGUUGACCAGUGAAACUUCAC